GCGCUUGUAGCUCAGCUGGAUAGAGCAACAGCCUUCUAAGCCGUAGGUCGCAGGUUCGAGUCCUGCCAAGCGCACCAC
Molecule: transfer RNA, 78 nt
Filed under: Helicobacter pylori 2018
Lineage: Bacteria; Pseudomonadati; Campylobacterota; Epsilonproteobacteria; Campylobacterales; Helicobacteraceae
Also listed under: 1 other name
Description: tRNA-Arg
Rfam family: tRNA
About the family: Transfer RNA (tRNA) molecules are approximately 80 nucleotides in length. Their secondary structure includes four short double-helical elements and three loops (D, anti-codon, and T loops).
Source: RNAcentral